Molecule: unclassified non-coding RNA, 403 nt
Filed under: uncultured Ascomycota
Lineage: Eukaryota; Fungi; Ascomycota
Description: sequence contains ITS2
Rfam family: 5.8S ribosomal RNA (bases 1-154)
Source: RNAcentral
AACUUUCUACAAUGUAUCUCGUGGUUCUGGCAUCGAUGAAGAACGCAGCGAAAUGCGAUAAGUAAUGUGAAUUGCAGAAUUCAGUGAAUCAUCGAAUCUUUGAACGCACAUUGCACCCGGUGGUAUUCCGCCGGGUAUGCCUGUUCGAGCGUCUGUAGAACAACAACUAUAGCAAGCUUUAGGCUUGAUUCUGGGGUUGCGGCGUCAAGCUGCAGCCUUGAAGUCCACGGGCGGUUCCGAUAGGUUCUACGCGUAGUAAUUUCUCCUCGCUACUGAACUUUGUCGGCACAUUUGGUACUAAGUCCAGCAAUGGCCACGCCAAGCCCUUAACACCCAAUUUUAGUUUGACCUCGGAUCAAGUAGGGAUACCCGCUGAACUUAAGCAUAUCAAUAAGCGGAGGCU